GUGAUGGAUGGAAGGAAGUGGCGAAUGAACGGAAAAGGGAGACAAGAUUAGGGGAAGGCGUUGGUAUGGGGGGAUUGGGAAGGAAUGAAUGAAUGUGACGUGCCUUCAAUGCUUCUUCCCUACACCUCCCAUACCAAUUUGCUUUUCCCUUGUUUCUCCCCCUUCCCUUCCUUUCUGUCGAAUGCUUCUGAGGUAAAUAUUUCUGCUAUGGAAUUCUUCCUUGAUUCGAAUGAACAAGUUGUUACAAUCGGAAAUGGGCAACAAUGACGAAGACGAAAGAAACUUCAUCAAAAUAAAGAUAAAGGACCUCGCACAAUUGCAAAACUGAGAACUGAGAGUGAGAACUGGGAUCUGGGAACGCCUCUCUGACUCUCACACGAUCGUCCUCGUCCCUCACCUCCGUCCAGCGACCGCGUCGUGCCGCCGCCGUCAUUCAUUCGAACAGCCACCUAAUCGUGCAACAGCCAUCGUUCCUUCGCCAAGCUACCUCUGUUGCGCAGCAGUCCUUCCUUCGAAUAGCCACUUCCAUCGCGAAGCAGUCGUCGUCCAUUUGAAGGUGCUCCACCACUGCUUGGUCACUUAGUGUCGCUGUCUCCCACUCUCCCUAUUGCAUGUUCUGUUGAAGUCUUGAAGGUGCCUUCGAACUUCCAGAGUUUCAGGGAUACCCAAUGACACUGAAAGCCCAGAUGCACACCUAUAUGAUCCAUAUCUGCAAGAUGUCCAAGAUCCUAAUGAGGAGAAUACUGAAGACCCAAUUACCUACUUACAUGACCCAAAUAUGAAUUUUAGAGCUGUCAAGUUGGCUUAUGAUAACACAUCAUCCUACUCAGACGGUGAUGGAACCCUUCUAAAAGACUAUUUUAAGUCGUUCGUCUAUUAAAGUAAGAGUCUUUACUAUGUAUAGUUAUUAAGCGCACUAAAAUAAAGUGACCACUGUCACUUAUCUAACUAAGUCAGCAAGAGAUAAAACUUAUUCUUAUCUUCCAGCUGGCAUUGUAUAAUAGACUUGUUUAGAAUAUGAUAUA
Arachis stenosperma is the source of this 1025-nucleotide long non-coding RNA. RefSeq lists it as uncharacterized. The transcript is spliced from 4 exons. Lineage: Eukaryota; Viridiplantae; Streptophyta; Magnoliopsida; Fabales; Fabaceae. The record is from RefSeq and is a predicted model, not a curated record.